GGGGAUCCCAAUAUUAAAAACUUAUUUCAAAAAUAUAUAUUGCAUGGUGUUCCUGAAUGCCAUAUCCGCUGCUAAGUCUAAGCAAGCUACUGAUUCACACAUUUUAGUGCAAGGAUGAAGCUUCUGCAAAGUAUACUAUUCUCAGGCCUCAGAUGGACAUCUGUGAGUAAAUUUCCAAACCUCUCUCGUUCCACUACCCUUCUAUGACAAUUUAGAAAGCCAACACUUUUGGAGGGUGUUCACACAGGUCAUAGUAUAAAGACCAACAGGCAGAAAUAUUGAGAUGAGCACAGGAAGGACAGAGCACAGCAAUGUUACAUAGGCAGCAAAGGGUGCUCCAAAAUUCUCAGUGACAAAUUCCAGCAUGUCCUUAACAGGGUCAACAGAACUUGUGAACUUCUGCUCUUCCAGAUGUUCCUGGCUCUUCUGUUUUUCCACCAACUUUGCAGAAAAGUCUGCUCGAAGUACAAAUUAAAAUUUCUGACCCAACUAUAUUGAGGGAUUGAGAUGAUGGGAUUAUAAGAACUGCACUUCACAUUUCAGAGCUUCCAGUGUAAUCAUGAAGUGUUGUAUCAUCCCAUCUAUAAAGCCAGGCAACAAUCCUAUAACACAGCUCAGCUUAAAAGCCAUCAUAAU
Molecule: long non-coding RNA, 636 nt
Filed under: Cyanistes caeruleus (blue tit)
Lineage: Eukaryota; Metazoa; Chordata; Aves; Passeriformes; Paridae
Description: lncRNA (ENSCCEG00000011970.1)
Source: RNAcentral